GUGAGUCAUCGAAUCUUUGAACGCACAUUGCGCCCCUUGGUAUUCCGGGGGGCAUGCCUGUCCGAGCGUCAUUACGUCCAUCAAGCCUUGGCUUGGUCUUGGGCCCUCGCCAUCCUGGGCGAGCCCGAAAGUCAGUGGCGGUCCCUCCUGGACUCAGGCGUCGUGAAUGAUCACGCCUUGGAGCAAGGGAGUGAGACCUGCCAACCCACCCCAAUCACAACAAUGUGGACCUCGGAUCAGGUAGGGAUACCCGCUGAACUUAAGCAUAUCAAUAAGCGGAGGA
RNAcentral lists this unclassified non-coding RNA (283 nucleotides) under Porpidia sp. Its description in RNAcentral is "partial contains 5.8S ribosomal RNA, internal transcribed spacer 2, and large subunit ribosomal RNA". The stretch from base 1 to 71 matches the Rfam family "5.8S ribosomal RNA", at positions 84 to 154 of the family's 154-position model. Lineage: Eukaryota; Fungi; Ascomycota; Lecanoromycetes; Lecideales; Lecideaceae. The record is from RNAcentral.